RNA transcript from Anopheles stephensi (Asian malaria mosquito), 3955 nucleotides. It is a transcript of the gene named PDF receptor, with no coding region annotated. The record is from RefSeq and is a predicted model, not a curated record. The transcript has 12 exons. Lineage: Eukaryota; Metazoa; Arthropoda; Insecta; Diptera; Culicidae.
GCUUUCCAACGGCUUUCGCAGUGUAUAGAGCAUCGCGAACGGCCGUUCCGUCGUCAGUCAGCUGCCGGCAGUCAGCGCGAGCACAGCACGCGUCAUCAUCGUAGCGUCGCCGGACCCGCCACACCACCCUGUCUCGUGCCCGUCGGUCGGUUAUCGAAAAGUACGUUUGAUUGGAGUCCGUGUCCCGACGGCUGUGACACGUCACUUACAACUCGGUUCGUCACGCACGCAACGCGCCCGUUAACGGCCAAAUGAGUUACGGGUUACGGGCGAGGCAGGACUGUUCCAAAUCGUGCCAGCCCGUGUGAUGUUUGCCGGUCUCCUAGGUGGUCGUCGCGGUGUGAUGAAGCACGUUCACCUGGCAAUGCAUUGCUUGAAACGUGCCGUGCUGCCCAACCGCGUCUAGUGCCACCGCCAGUGUUCCCGCCCGCAUUGCGAUCCGUUUGGCAAAAGUCCUGGAGUUUCUUUCUUACACUUUUAAUUCAACGGUGGGAAGUUUCCUCGCAAUAGGCGAGGCAUCCGGGGAACGUAAGGCCGGGCAGCGAGUGAAGUUUCUCAUUACGAAUCUCGAGUGUGCAAUAGUGUGAAGCGAGAAAAAAAAUCCCAAAAGUACACACCCGAGUACGCCCGCGAUACAGUGACAGGAUGGUGGAUUCGCCGAACCGAAAGUGAGAUGUAUAGAUGAAGAGUUGCAAAGUUUGUGCCGCAAAGUCAGCUAUCCCGCGGACGGACGGAACUGAGCGUUGCGUGUGCAAAUAAGCCCGAAGACAACGAACAAAAGUGUGCAGUGAAGUUAGCAUAAGCAAGAGAGCAACGUGCGAGAAAAAAAAAACCGACGCCAAAUAGCGAAUCCGGAUCGCUGAUCAAUUGCAGCGGAAGUGCGCCCAACAGUGUUAGUGCCCCCGACAAACCUCGCGACUGUGCGCGGACUUUGUUUUGCAAACGAUAGCUACGAUAGCUAUUUGAAGCAAAGAGAUCAUCGGGUCUGCAAAAAAUCGAGAAUCGAAAAAAGUGGUUCACAAAAAUACAACCGUGUGUGUCUGGUCUCAAGCUCAAUUCUGCGAUACGGAUACCGUACCGUACCGAAUGGAUAACGUAGAUCCCGGUCCAUAGGAGCAUGUGUGGUUCGCGCUGAAUUCCUAGAUGCUGUUAAUUAAAGGUGGUGGUGCAGUCUAGACGUACGGAACAAGUUGAGCACUCUCGGCCGGUGAUCCGCAAACAAAAAAAAACUCCGAAGCAACAAGGACCUGCCAUAUCGCGAAAGCGCACCGAGUUUACGAGCUUCAAAAUUGCGGAAAUCAUUCACACGAAAGUUGUUGGUCGCGGUCCCGGUCACCUUUCCUAGCCAGCGGGAGCCAAAACCGAAGCGGAAAACCCAGUCUUGACCCCAGCCACGGGAGGUGUGUUCCAAAAAUUGCCGAGAUAUGGUCCGCCAUGGUGUCAACAAUCGGUGGUCCUUCUACUGUCGCUGCUGCUGCUGCUGUGGCAGGUGCUGCGGGUGCGGCAACCACUAUCACCACCACUGAUGCGACACAACUGUUCAUCAACACAACGCUUGACUCAUGUGCCCUUAAAUAUGAAGAGUUCGUUAUACCGACUACAGUUCCUUACUGCAACUGGACCUGGGAUAGCAUACUAUGCUGGCCCCCAACGCCAGCCAAUUUGACAAUAAGACAGCGAUGCCCUCCAGCACACGGAAUCGAUACCUCAAAGUUUGCCGAACGACGAUGCAGUGCCGAGGGACAGUGGGAAGGUAAACCGGGCUCCCCGUCGAACCUCCACGGAUGGACCAACUAUACGCCCUGCUACAGCCCGGAAGUUAUACAACUGUUUAGAAAGCUUUACGCCGGCGGGAGCGACGAUGAAGCGAAUGACAAGAUUGACAUUGCCGAGCGGACGCGUACGCUGGAGACGGUGGGAUUCAGUCUUUCACUAGUAGCGUUAAUUAUUUCGUUAAUAAUAUUUUGUAAAUUUCGCGGUCUUCGCAACAACCGGACAAGAAUUCACAAAAAUCUGUUCGUGGCCAUGGUGAUACAGGUGGUGAUCCGCCUUACCUUAUACAUCGACCAAGCGAUCAUACGCAGCGGUGGCAAAAAGUUCGGCAACGAAAGCUCUCGCCAAGGAAUCGAUAACACUCCUUUCCUCUGCGAGGCGUCGUACGUGCUGCUUGAGUACGCCAGGACUUGCAUGUUUAUGUGGAUGUUUAUAGAGGGAUUAUAUUUACACAACGUAGUGACGGUUACAGUAUUCCAGGGACGGUUUCCACAUACGCUUUACGCCAUCGUGGGCUGGGGUGGCCCGGUCGUACUGACCGUCAUCUGGGCCAUCACAACCGCGCAGUACAUCCGGCAGCAGAAAUGCUGGUGGGGUUACAACUUGACGCCUUAUUACUGGAUUUUGGAAGGUCCAAGACUAGCAGUAGUCGUGUUGAAUUUCAUAUUUUUACUUAAUAUUAUAAGAGUACUGAUCGUGAAGCUGCGCCAAAGCCACACCAGCGAUGUGGAGCAGGUGCGGAAAGCGGUCCGGGCGGCGGUCGUCCUUGUGCCAUUGCUAGGAAUUACCAACAUACUCAACAUGACCCAGGCACCGCUCGACAAGACGGCGCUCGAGUUCGCUAUCUGGUCGUACGUGACGCAUUUUCUCACCUCCUUCCAAGGAUUCUUUAUCGCACUGCUCUAUUGCUUCCUGAACGGCGAGGUACGGACGGCACUUAUGAAAAGUAUCAGCGUAUACCUGUCGCUGCGCGGCCACCACGACUGGGCGGUUCGGAGGCAAUCGCUCUUCUCCGCCGGCUAUCCUACCGUGCCGGUCAACGAAGCACCACCGAACGCCGCCGGGGACACAAAUCGCAACACCAACAGAAAUGCCGCCAGCAACAAUCUGCUGGCAAGUGCCAACAAUCAUACCGCCAACGGGGGCAUGGCCGGCAGCAACGCGAACGGUUUCCGAUGUGGCUGGUUUAGCCGCUGCUUUUUAGUACAAAAACACACCAACAACCCGUCCGCUCCGGAGCCGGCCCCACCUGAGUCAGUUGUGUUCGAUAUUUCCGACUAGUUUAGCCCCGUCCACGUGUUAUUUUGAUUUUUUUCUUUCGUUUACUUUGGUUGAGUUUGGAUUUAACCAGCGUGUGAUGGCGGCUGUCGGAGCACGUGCGUAAUACACCGAUCCAUGAGACUAUAAGUAACUAGUAAAGCUUUACCCCGAUGACCGUGCGUCACCGGAAACCGGAACUGCUAUCAGGGUAGCCACGCACCAAUUGCGACACGACUGUCACUAGCAACUAGUGGCAAGCGGAAACAACAAUUUAACAAAAAACCAAGAGAAUGCAUAAUUUUAUAUAAACCGACGAGAAUUGCUCUGCGCGAGGGAACACUUUACUAAAGCCACAGCUACUCUGGGAACUGGGAACAGCAGGAGCAAGAGCGUAUCAAAUAAGCGUACGAAUCGAAUUUACCCGAGUCGGUCUGAGUGUGGCAUAAAAUGUUAAACUAUGUAGAGAGGGGGGAACCUGUGGGGGACUUGGGGAGGGAAAGAGAGAGAAAGUAUAAGUGUUGGAUAAUUAAAAUGGUUUAAAAUGUUGCUGCUCGCGUCGUUUGAUAUACAUAACGAUACAUAUAUAUAUAAAUCUAUAUUUUAUCAGGAUAACAAAGCGGAGGAAGGGAGAAAAAUUAGGGGAAGCGCCCUGAAAAGCUACUGUAAUGUCGAUUGUUUUUUGUCGAUUUCGUAACUGUUGUAACGUUGUAACGCGUGCCAGUGCAAGCAUGCUGCAGCGAUGGAUCCCUGCGAACCAGCAGCCAGCACAGCACAACACAGCUAAACAUCAACGUCAACAUGGACGAUGGGGCACCCGGUACCAACACACUCUUUAGAUUGAAUUUAUGUGUAACAGCAAAUUGCAAAUCUAAAACGCAUGAAUGAAUAAAUGCAAUGUUGUCGUCUGUUUUUGUACCUGUGA